Molecule: ribosomal RNA, 492 nt
Filed under: uncultured bacterium
Lineage: Bacteria
Description: bacterial SSU rRNA
Rfam family: Bacterial small subunit ribosomal RNA
Source: RNAcentral
GAUGAACGCUAGCGGAAGGCUUAAUACAUGCAAGUCGAGCGGUAGGUGGCUUCGGCCAUUGAGAGCGGCGCACGGGUGAGUAACGCGUACAUGACCUGCCUGUCAGAAGGGGAUAGCCCUGGGAAACUGGGAUUAAUACCCUAUGGUAUUGAUAUUAUGAAUGAUAUCAAUUAAAGUUGAGGCGCUGACAGAUGGAUGUGCGUCUGAUUAGCUAGUUGGUAGGGUAACGGCCUACCAAGGCGACGAUCAGUAGGGGGCGUGAGAGCGUGGUCCCCCACACGGGUACUGAGACACGGACCCGACUCCUACGGGAGGCAGCAGUAAGGAAUAUUGGUCAAUGCCCGCAAGGGUGAACCAGCCAUUCCGCGUGGAGGAUGAAGGCCCUAUGGGUUGUAAACUUCUUUUAGAUGGGAAGAAAUGCUAGAUGUAUCUGGUACUGACGGUACCAUCAGAAUAAGCACCGGCUAACUACGUGCCAGCAGCCGCGGUAAU